Molecule: unclassified non-coding RNA, 149 nt
Filed under: uncultured fungus
Lineage: Eukaryota; Fungi
Description: sequence contains ITS2
Source: RNAcentral
CUAUCUUCAACUAAUUUAUAGUUGGUGUUAGAAGCUAGGCUAACACCAGCUUCUUAAAUUUAAUGGCUAUUGUAUCUGGCGUUCUUCUACAAAGUAAAUCUUGUCUGUUUAAGAACACAUUUAUAUUAGCAUUAAUUUGUUAUUAUUUU